Molecule: ribosomal RNA, 551 nt
Filed under: uncultured Glomeromycotina
Lineage: Eukaryota; Fungi; Glomeromycota
Description: SSU rRNA
Rfam family: Eukaryotic small subunit ribosomal RNA
Source: RNAcentral
UUGGAGGGCAAGUCUGGUGCCAGCAGCCGCGGUAAUUCCAGCUCCAAUAGCGUAUAUUAAAGUUGUUGCAGUUAAAAAGCUCGUAGUUGAAUUUCGGGAUUUAUCCGUCGGUCGGGCUUUUGGGUCUGUACUGGCGUGAUGGAUUUCUACCUUCUGAAUAACCGGCAUGUCAUUAAUUUGGUGCGCCGGGGAAGCAGGACUGUUACCUUGAAAAAAUUAGAGUGCUUAAAGCAGGCUAUUGCCUGAAUACAUUAGCAUGGAAUAAUGAAAUAGGACGGCAUGGUUCUAUUUUGUUGGUUUCUAGGAUCACCGUAAUGAUUAAUAGGGAUAGUUGGGGGCAUUAGUAUUCAAUUGUCAGAGGUGAAAUUCUUGGAUUUAUUGAAGACUAACUUCUGCGAAAGCAUUUGCCAAGGAUGUUUUCAUUAAUCAAGAACGAAAGUUAGGGGAUCGAAGACGAUCAGAUACCGUCGUAGUCUUAACCAUAAACUAUGCCGACUAGGGAUCGGACGAUGUUAAUUUUUUAAUGACUCGUUCGGCGCCUUACGGGAAAC